RNAcentral lists this ribosomal RNA (468 nucleotides) under uncultured bacterium. Its description in RNAcentral is "partial 16S ribosomal RNA". It matches the Rfam family "Bacterial small subunit ribosomal RNA", at positions 28 to 507 of the family's 1533-position model. The record is from RNAcentral.
GACGAACGCUGGCGGCGUGCUUAACACAUGCAAGUCGAACGGAAAGGCCCUGCGUUUGUGGGGUGCUCGAGUGGCGAACGGGUGAGUAACACGUGAGUAACCUGUCCUUGACUUUGGGAGAUCUCCAGGAAACUGGGGCGAUUACAGGAUAGGAGCUCCUGCUGCAUGGUGGGGGUUGGAAAGUUUCGGCGGUUGGGGAUGGACUCGCGGCUUAUCAGCUGGUUGGGGGGGUAGUGGCUGACCAGGGCUUUGACGGGUAGCCGGCAUGAGAGGGUGGCCGGCCACAUUGGGACUGCGAUACGGCCCAGACUCCUACGGGCGGCAGCAGUGGGGAAUAUUGCACAAUGGGCGGAAGCCUGAUGCAGCAACGCCGCGUGCGGAAUGACGGCCUUCGGGUUGUAAACCGCUUUCGCCUGUGACGAAGCGUGCGUGACGGUAAUGGGUAAAGAAGCACCGGCUAACUACGUG